AGCCAUGCGUUGAGCACAGAUCGAACUAUUCUUUCGCCUUUUACUAAAGAAUACCGUGUGCGUGGCGCUUUAAGUGGCAUACGCCUAUUUUUGAAAGGUUGCACCUCUGUGGGUGCC
Molecule: small nuclear RNA, 117 nt
Filed under: Rosa chinensis
Lineage: Eukaryota; Viridiplantae; Streptophyta; Magnoliopsida; Rosales; Rosaceae
Description: sRNA RchiOBHm_Chr7g0219191
Rfam family: U5 spliceosomal RNA
About the family: U5 RNA is a component of both types of known spliceosome.
Source: Rfam by way of RNAcentral